Long non-coding RNA from Thalassophryne amazonica, 304 nucleotides. RefSeq lists it as uncharacterized. The record is from RefSeq and is a predicted model, not a curated record. Lineage: Eukaryota; Metazoa; Chordata; Actinopteri; Batrachoidiformes; Batrachoididae. The transcript is spliced from 3 exons.
UUUUUUGGGGGGGGCAUCUGGUGUAAUAGCAGCUCAUAUUUAAGUUCAAGCAGCUGAAUGUUUGAAAUUUGCACUCAUGAAUAUUUGUAUUUUAUUCCCUUUUGAAUCAAUGUGUGGGUCACUCAACUUCCAGUGGUCAGAGAGAACUAUUACAAACAUGUGUGGACUCCAUUAGAACUUACAACAUACAAACCCAAUUCCAAUAAAGUUGGGACAUUGUGUAAAAUGGAAAUAAAAACAGAAUACAAUGAUUUGCAAAUCCUCUUCAACCUAUAUUCAAUUGAAUACACCAUAAAGACAAGAU